GAUGAACGCUGGCGGCGUGCCUAAUACAUGCAAGUCGAGCGAACAGACGAAGAACUUUCUCCUUUCACUUUCGCGGCGGACGCGGGUGUAACAUGUGGAGAACCCACCUUGAUGGCUGGGGUAACUUCGGGAAACCGGUGCCAAUACCGGCAUAUCGAUUCAACCGCAUGGUUCAGUACUGUAGGACCUCUUUCCAUUCACUUAUACAAGGAUCCGGUCGGGAUUAGGUAGUGGGUAGGGUAACGUCUGACCUGGGCGAUGAUGCGUAGGCGAGCUGAGAGGAUGACCAGCGACACUGGAACUGAGACACGGUCCAGACUCCUACGGGAGGCAGCAGUGGGGAAUAUUGCACAAUGGGCGCAAGCCUGAUGCAGCCAUGCCGCGUGUAUGAAGAAGGCCUUCGGGUUGUAAAGUACUUUCAGCGGGGAGGAAGGGAGUAAAGUGAAUACCUUUACGCAUUGACGGGACCCGCAGAAGAAGCACCGGCUAACUCCGUG
Molecule: ribosomal RNA, 497 nt
Filed under: uncultured bacterium
Lineage: Bacteria
Description: partial 16S ribosomal RNA
Rfam family: Bacterial small subunit ribosomal RNA
Source: RNAcentral